AGGGUUUGAUUCUGGCUCAGGACGAACGCUGGCGGCGUGCCUAACACAUGCAAGUCGAACGAAGCUCCGACACUUGAGUUUUCGGACAAGAGUGAAGGAUGACUUAGUGGCGAACGGGUGAGUAAUGCGUGAGCAACCUGCCUUUCAGAGGGGGACAACAGCUGGAAACGGCUGCUAAUACCGCAUAACACAUCGGGGUGGCAUCACCCUGAUGUCAAAGGAGCAAUCCGCUGAGAGAUGGGCUCACGUCUGAUUAGCUAGAUGGUGGGGUAACGGCCCACCAUGGCGACGAUCAGUAGCCGGUCUGAGAGGAUGAACGGCCACAUUGGGACUGAGAUACGGCCCAG
This 347-nucleotide ribosomal RNA is filed under the name uncultured bacterium. RNAcentral's name for it is "bacterial SSU rRNA". It matches the Rfam family "Bacterial small subunit ribosomal RNA", at positions 8 to 334 of the family's 1533-position model. The record is from RNAcentral.